Passer montanus (Eurasian tree sparrow) is the source of this 4049-nucleotide long non-coding RNA. RefSeq lists it as uncharacterized. NCBI's taxonomy places the organism in Eukaryota, Metazoa, Chordata, Aves, Passeriformes, Passeridae. The record is from RefSeq and is a predicted model, not a curated record. The transcript is spliced from 2 exons.
CUGGAGUUUGAUGGUCAGCUGAGGUUGGAUGGUCAGCUGGGCUUGGAUGGUCAGCUGGGCUUGAGUGGUCAGCUGGGGUUUGAUGGUCAGCUGAGGUUGGAUGGUCAGCUGGGCUUGAGUGGUCACCUGAGGUUUGAUGGUCAGCUGAGGUUGGAUGGUCAGCUGGGGUUGGAUGGUCAGCUGAGGUUGGAUGGUCAGCUGGAGUUGGAUGGUCAGCUGGGCUUGGAUGGUCAGCUGGGUUCAGGUGGUCAGCUGGAUUCAGGUGGUCCACUGGAGUUGGAUGGUCAGCUGAGGUUGGAUGGUCAACUGGGCUUGGAUGGUCAGCUGGGCUUGGAUGGUCAGCUGGGUUCAGGUGGUCAGCUGGAUACAAGUGGUCCACUAGAGUUGGAUGAUCAGCUGGGGUUGGAUGGUCAACUGAGUAGGAUGGUCAUCUGUGCUUGGAUGGCCAGCUGGGGUUUGAUGGUCACCUGAGGUUGGAUGGCCAGCUGGGCUUGGAUAGUCAGCUGGAGUUUGAUGGUCAGCUGGAAUUGGAUGGUCAGCUGGGCUUGAGUGGUCAGCUGGAGUUUGAUGGUCAGCUGGGCUUGGAUGGUCAGCUGGGGUUUGAUGGUCAGCUGGGCUCAGGUGGUCAGCUGGGCUCAGGUGGUCAGCACAGGGACAGGGUGACCCCUGCUCAGGGGUUUUCAGGCUGGCAGAGCCUGGCUGUGCAGGAGGUUGGGAUGAGGGGCUUGGUGCUGGGGGCAGGCUGGCAGUGCUUGUGGUGCUGUCAGGGGCACCCGAGCCCCCGCGGGGGUUGUGGCUGUGGCAGGGAGACUCUGGGGGUCCCUUGGGGAGGGGGUUGUUGCUGUGGGGUGGUUGAGGCCCCUGCCAGGGUUGGGGUCUGGGGACAGUGGAAGUGUUAAAUCCAGAGCUGGUGGUGAUGGGCCACGUGUGGGCCUGGGGUAAACUGGGGCAAAGAGAAAGAACACGUUUCCUUUUCCCUUUUUCACUUCCCUCUUCCUCUCCAGAAUAACUUCAGCAAACCGAGGAAAAAGCAAAUUCACAAAAACCCCCCGCCUUUUCCUUGAGAAUUUCACUUUUUACACUUUUUUCCUCCCCUAGUGUUGCUCGGUUGGGGGAUCCCCCCCAUCCCUUUGGGUGUCAGUUGGGAUGUUUGUCACCAGUUCUGGGGACAGGGCUGUGAGCUGCUGCUGCCAGAGCUUGGCUGGGGGUGAGGGGCACUUGGUGCUCUGGGGGUCCCCUCUGCCCUCCUGGGGGGAGCAUCCCUCAGGAGGGGAAGGAGCAUCUUCCCAGCCACUCCUCAGCUCUGGCUGCCACAUCCUGCCUCCCACCUCUCCGGCUGGGGGCACAAUUUGGGGAUGUCUGGGGGAUUUUCACCACCCAAAGUGGGGAAAAUUCAUCCCCAUCCGCCUCUCCCUGAGCUGUGGGAGAGUGUCUAACAGUGGGCUUCAGCUGAAGGUUUGCUCUGGUUUCCCUUUCCCGUGUUCAUCCUUUUAUUCCACCUUCACUUUUAUCUUUUUGGGGUUUUUUUCUCUUUUCCUUUCCACAAAAAAACCCAAGCAGACCCAUAAACCAAGUAUUAUGUUUUCACUACCUCCAUCCAUCACCCUUCCUUGUCCAAUGCAGGAAGCCACACUCGGGAUGUAAGAGGGCCUUUCCCCCUUUGUUUUCCCCUUUCCCCUGGUGAUUUUCUCUCCCUUCUGUCCCUCUGCCCCUCCUCUCUCUGGUCUCUCACCUGUAGUAUUUUACCUGGCUACUGUAACUGUAAAUAGCGAGUUUCAAUCUGUUAGCAAUGGUAACAGUACAGAAAACUGGUUUUGGUUUUCUCUUUUUUUUUUUUUUUUUGGUUGUAUUGAUAUGAAAUGAGAUUAUAUUUUUGUCAGAGUAUAUUGUAAUAAUACUGACUUUGGACAUGGCCGAGUUGUACAGCGAUUUCUUGUUUAACCCUCUUGGCUCUUCCCGUGCACCCCUCCCCGGCCUCCCUGCUCCCCAAAUUUCCAUGUCCCGCAUCCUGGGCAGGAGCAGCCCCUUGGAAAUUUGCAGUUCCAGGGUUGCUUUUCCACAGGGUUCCCACACGCCGGCGUGUCCCCCUGGCUCCGGGGGGUCUGCAACCCCCGGGGGUGAUUUAGCGAGCCUUGGAGAUGGGGAGGAGCCGGCUGAGCAUCCACAGGGAUGCUCUGGAGCUCUGCCACGCUCCGGGCAGCAAUUCAGGACCCUGGAGCAGUGAGCGGGCUCCUUCCACUCCCCUCUCCUCCCUGGCCGGGGGAAAACCCCGGUUCCUUCCCAGCUCCGUUCUCUGGAGCUGUUUGGGAUGUGCUUGACUUGAGCCAGAAGAGGGUGGUGUGGCUCAGGCUGCGCCAGGAGCGGCUCCAGACGGGCUGGGAGGUUUUUGGGGAGUGAGGAUUGAGAUAUCCCCCAGGCUGGGAAGGUUUUUGGGGAGUGAGGGUUGAGAUAUCCCCCAGGCUGGGAAGGUUUUGGGGAGUGAGGAUUGAGAUAUCCCCUAAAAUGGGAAGGUUUUUGGGGAGUGAGGAUUGAGAUAUCCCCCAGGCUGGGAAGGUUUUGGGGAGUGAGGGUUGAGAUAUCCCCUAAAAUGGGAAGGUUUUGGGGAGUGAGGAUUGAGAUAUCCCCCAGGCUGGGAAGGUUUUGGGGAGUGAGGAUUGAGAUAUCCCCUAAAAUGGGAAGGUUUUUGGGGAGUGAGGAUUGAGAUAUCCCCCAGGCUGGGAAGGUUUUUGGGGACUGAAGGAUUGGCAAUAUCCCCUAAGAUGGGAAAGCUUUGGGGGAACUGAGGGAUUUGUAAUAUCCCCUAGGAUGGGAAGGUUUUCAGAACUGAGGGAUUCACAAUGUCCCCCAGGCUGGGAAGGUUUUUUGGAACUGAGGGAUUGAAAAUAUCCCCUAAAAUGGGAAGGUUUUGGGGGAACUGAGGGAUUGACAUUGUCCCCCAGGCUGUGAGGGUUUUUUGGAACUGAGGGAUUGACAAUAUCCCCUAAAAUGGGAAGGUUUUCAGAACUGAGGGAUUGACAAUAUCCCCUAAAAUGGGAAGGUUUUUUUGGGGAAGUGAGGGAUUUGUAAUAUCCCCUAGGAUGGAAAGGUUUUCAGAACUGAGGGAUUCACAAUAUCCCCUAAGAUGGGAAGGUUUUCAGGAACUGGGAUUUGCAAUAUCCCCUCACCCUGGGAAGGUUUUUUGGGACUGAGGGGUUGAAAUAUCCCCCAGACUGGGAAGGAUUUUGGGACUGAAGGAUUUGCAAUAUCCCCCAGACUGGGAAGGUUUUUUGGGACUGAAGGAUUUGCAGUAUCCCCAUCCCUGGGUGGGGAUGGGUGGCUGUGUCUCCCCCCUGCCCCCCACAUCCACCCCGGGCCAGGGGGAGCCCCAGCAUCGUGCUGGGGGAUCAGAGAAGGAUUUCUUCACUUCAGAUGGGUUUUCAGUGAGGUUUUCGUGCUGGUGCCCCUGAGACUGGCCCAGCUCCUCCCUCUGCAGGCCUGCACCCACCUCAGGCUGCAGGAGCACCCCCAGCCGCUCUGCUGUGACCACGCUGGGCUGUCCCCAGGGGCUCCUGGCAUCCCCAAGGCCGAGGGGUGCAGCAGCCCACCCUGGGCCACGACUCCCCUCCUGCCCAGGGCUCUUCCCAAGCAUUUGCAGGCAGAUGAGGUGCUGGAGAAGUGGGGACCGUGGUGGCCCAGUGCUGCUCGCUCUGCUGUCCCCCAGAGCCCCCGGGGCAGCUCCUGCUUCUCCCCCAUCCCCUUUGCUCCCCGUAGCUCAGUUAAGCAGGUAGGUGUUAGCAAACUCUGCAAAAAAAAACUUUUGUAAAAUAGAAUAGACCCUUUAAAUGAUGCACUAAAAUAAAAAAAAAAUAAAAAAAAAUCAUGGGUGCCCCCUGUCAGCUUCUCUGCGUGGUGGUUUGUUGGAUGUCCCCGCUCAGCCCAGCACAGGCAGCUCUGCAUCCUCCCCCAGGGUGCUGCACAGGUAGAAACAAAGCAGGACGUGCACUUCCCCCCGAGGAGUUUUAUUUAUUGUUUCGAGAAGCGAUUUAAAAGGGAAGAAAAAAAAAAAAAAA